AUACGGAGGAUCCGAGCGUUAUCCGGAUUUAUUGGGUUUAAAGGGUGCGCAGGCGGCCAUUUAAGUCAGCGGUUAAAUCGUGGGGCUCAACCCCAUUCUGCCGUUGAUACUGGGUGGCUUGAUUGCGGUCGAGGUUGGCGGAAUUCGUUGUGUAGCGGUGAAAUGCAUAGAUAUGACGAAGAGCACCGAUUGCGUAGGCAGCUGACCAGACCGCAAAUGACGCUCAUGCACGAAAGUGCGGGGAUCGAACAGGAUUAGAUACCCUGGUAGUCCGCACAGUAAACGAUGAAUACUUGUUUUCGGCGAUAUAAUGUCGGAGGCAAAGCGAAAGCGAUAAGUAUUCCACCUGGGGAGUACGCCGGCAACGGUGAAACUCAAAGGAAUUGACGGGG
Molecule: ribosomal RNA, 392 nt
Filed under: uncultured bacterium
Lineage: Bacteria
Description: partial 16S ribosomal RNA
Rfam family: Bacterial small subunit ribosomal RNA
Source: RNAcentral